GGUCAUCGUGUUGGGCGGACUGGACGAGCUGGUAGGAAAGGUUGUGCCAUCACAUUCAUAUCCGAAGAUGAUGCAAGAUAUGCACCUGAUAUUGUAAAAGCUUUACAAUUGUCGGAGCAAGUUGUUCCAGAUGACCUGAAAGCAAGUCCAGAUGACCUGAAGGCUCUUGCUGAGAGUUUCAGGGCGAAGGUGAAUCAGGGACUUGAGCAACUACAUGGGACUGGUUAUGGUGGCAGUGGUUUAAGUUUAAUGAAGAAGAGGAUGGAGUGAGAAGAGCAGCCAAAAAG
Molecule: long non-coding RNA, 287 nt
Filed under: Capsicum annuum
Lineage: Eukaryota; Viridiplantae; Streptophyta; Magnoliopsida; Solanales; Solanaceae
Description: long non-coding RNA (CANN_LNC018423)
Source: RNAcentral